RNAcentral lists this ribosomal RNA (483 nucleotides) under uncultured bacterium. RNAcentral describes it as "bacterial SSU rRNA". It matches the Rfam family "Bacterial small subunit ribosomal RNA", at positions 399 to 895 of the family's 1533-position model. The record is from RNAcentral.
GCGUGUACGAUGAAGGCCUUCGGGUUGUAAAGUACUUUUUGUAGGGAUGAGGAAGGACAGUACCUGCAGAAUAAGCCUCGGCUAACUACGUGCCAGCAGCCGCGGUAAAACGUAGGAGGCGAGCGUUAUCCGGAUUUACUGGGCGUAAAGCGCGUGUAGGCGGAUUGGUAAGUUAGCUGUGAAAGCUCCCGGCUUAACUGGGAGAGGUCGGUUAAUACUGUCAGUCUAGAGUAUGUGAGAGGGAAGUGGAAUUCCGGGUGUAGUGGUGAAAUGCGUAGAUAUCCGGAGGAACACCAGAGGCGAAAGCGGCUUCCUGGCACAUUACUGACGCUCAGACGCGAAAGCUAGGGGAGCAAACGGGAUUAAGAGACCCCGGUAAGUCCUAGCUGUAAACNAUGUAAACUUGGCGUUGGUGGGGUCAAACCCAUCAGUGCCGGAGCUNACGCAUUAAGUCUACCGCCUGGGGACUACGGCCGCAAGGUU